Molecule: small RNA, 1160 nt
Filed under: Human betaherpesvirus 5
Lineage: Duplodnaviria; Heunggongvirae; Peploviricota; Herviviricetes; Herpesvirales; Orthoherpesviridae
Description: RNA5.0
Source: RNAcentral
AACACCCACAAACAACGUCACGACGCAACGUGGUUAAACAGUACGUUUAUUAAAGUAACUGGGUGAACGACAUCGGAGCGGACUGCAAAUCGCAACGCUACUUUCUCGAGUGCAGAUACUCUUCGAGACGGCUAAACAACGUGUCCAACUCGCUGAGACCUUUCCGCGUGCCGUUAUCCGAUUUCCUUUCCGCCUCCUGAGACAGCCGACUAAUCACGGACUUAUCUCCGCAACCUAACAGAGGCUGGGAGCCCGACAAAAGUAAAACAGCGUGCUAUGAACACGUUGUUACCUCUGCGCGGACAGCGCCGCCACAGAGACACUUACGCAUUGCCGCAUGUCUUUGUAGAUGGAUUCUAGCGUCGAGCGCAUACUAUGCAAUUCCGUCUUAAGUCCAGGAUAGACGUGGUCGCCUGCGGGGAACACGAUCUCCAGAUACCGCCUCAACAACCAGUCCAUGACGCUGCAUCCCCAACAGCCUUUGACCACCGUACCGUCGAGCCACACGGAGUAGUCGUCCUCACGUUGCUACAAGAGGAAAACUACGUCACCCGACACGCGGAAAAGAAAGACCGUCGCAAUAAACCGUACCUACGUGACCUACCAACGUAGGUUUUACUCGAUGAAAGGUGACGCGGAGAUCUUGCAAUCUGGUCGCGUAAUCCUCCGGACGACACUGCGGCUUUGUAUUCUUUAUCGUCGUCGUCGUCGUCGUCGUCGUCGCCGCCGGCUUCGCCUCCUCGGAAGCGCCUAGAAAAAAGACGAUCAGGACCAGAGAGGAAGAGACCAUCACCGACAGCAUCGCCGCAGCAUGCCGCCCCAAUCCGCCGCCCAACUGCGCGUCCCAGAUACCACUCGUAGACUGUCAGCCUCGCGAGGAGACACCGCGGACCGGGGAAACGGAUAAGUUUACGAACAGAAAUCUCAAGAGAAAGACGCUGACCCGGCAAGUACCGUCACGGAGACACGGUGGUUUUUAUUGAAUUUCCAGUGUAUCGAGCCACCGUGAUGCAGGUACGGUGGUUUUAUGUGAAGUGCCGCUAUCUAUAGGCGAUGUGUUCCCUGACGGUGUGUGUUUUUUGGGGAUAGACAACGUGGUUCUUGUACGUGGUUUUUACCCUGCUCAAUAAAGUCACGUUUUCCUUACACGGUGUUGUGUC